This 452-nucleotide ribosomal RNA is filed under the name uncultured bacterium. Its description in RNAcentral is "bacterial SSU rRNA". It matches the Rfam family "Bacterial small subunit ribosomal RNA", at positions 28 to 507 of the family's 1533-position model. The record is from RNAcentral.
GAUGAACGCUGGCGGCGUGCCUAACACAUGCAAGUCGAGCGAUUUACUUCGGUAAAGAGCGGCGGACGGGUGAGUAACGCGUGGGUAACCUGCCCUGUACACACGGAUAACAUACCGAAAGGUAUGCUAAUACGAGAUAAUAUGCUUUUAUCGCAUGGUAGAAGUAUCAAAGCUCCGGCGGUACAGGAUGGACCCGCGUCUGAUUAGCUAGUUGGUAAGGUAACGGCUUACCAAGGCGACGAUCAGUAGCCGACCUGAGAGGGUGAUCGGCCACAUUGGAACUGAGACACGGUCCAAACUCCUACGGGAGGCAGCAGUGGGGAAUAUUGCACAAUGGGCGAAAGCCUGAUGCAGCAACGCCGCGUGAGCGAUGAGGGCCUUCGGGUCGUAAAGCUCUGUCCUCAAGGAAGAUAAUGACGGUACUUGAGGAGGAAGCCCCGGCUAACUACGUG